CAAUAGCGUAUAUUAAAGUUGUUGCAGUUAAAAAGCUCGUAGUUGGAUUUCUGGCUGGAGCGAUCGGUCCGCCCCGCAAGGGGUGUGUACUAGCGUCGUCUCCGACCAUCCUUGUGGGAACUGUGCGGCCGUUAACUCGGUUGUAUAUGGGAACACAUCGUUUACUGUGAAAAAAUUAGAGUGUUUAAAGCAGGCAAUCGCUGUGAAUACAUUAGCAUGGAAUAAUAAGAUAGGACUUUGGUGCUAUUUUGUUGGUUUGCACACCAAGGUAAUGAUUAACAGGGACAGUUGGGGGUAUUCGUAUUUAGAUGUCAGAGGUGAAAUUCUUGGAUUUUCGAAAGACGAACUUCUGCGAAAGCAUUUACCAAGGAUGUUUUCAUUAAUCAAGAACGAAAGUUAGGGGAUCGAAGACGAUCAGAUACCA
RNAcentral lists this ribosomal RNA (424 nucleotides) under uncultured eukaryote. RNAcentral's name for it is "bacterial SSU rRNA". It matches the Rfam family "Eukaryotic small subunit ribosomal RNA", at positions 592 to 1017 of the family's 1831-position model. The record is from RNAcentral.